GACGAACGCUGGCGGCGUGCUUAACACAUGCAAGUCGAACGGAAAGGCCCUGCUUUUGUGGGGUGCUCGAGUGGCGAACGGGUGAGUAACACGUGAGUAACCUGCCCUUGACUUUGGGAUAACUUCAGGAAACUGGGCUAAUACCGGAUAGGAGCUCCUGCUGCAUGGUGGGGGUUGGAAAGUUUCGGCGGUUGGGGAUGGACUCGCGGCUUAUCAGCUUGUUGGUGGGGUAGUGGCUUACCAAGGCUUUGACGGGUAGCCGGCCUGAGAGGGUGACCGGCCACAUUGGGACUGAGAUACGGCCCAGACUCCUACGGGAGGCAGCAGUGGGGAAUAUUGCACAAUGGGCGGAAGCCUGAUGCAGCAACGCCGCGUGCGGGAUGACGGCCCUCGGGUUGUAAACCGCUUUCGCCUGUGACGAAGCGUGAGUGACGGUAAUGGGUAAAGAAGCACCGGCUAACUACGUG
This 467-nucleotide ribosomal RNA is filed under the name uncultured bacterium. RNAcentral's name for it is "partial 16S ribosomal RNA". It matches the Rfam family "Bacterial small subunit ribosomal RNA", at positions 28 to 507 of the family's 1533-position model. The record is from RNAcentral.